AAUACUGGUGUGCAGUGACAUUAGAGAGAGACGUGAAUUAUCUUUACACUCAUCUGAUCGUCAUCAUGAACGAGGGUGAGGAAGGUUUAUCAUCUGAAUAUGUGAAACUAUGGCUGUGAAUUGAUGUUCUUAUAUUUCUAAUCAUUUCCAGAGCUGAACUUGACUAAGUAUGAAGGAGACGACAUGUCAAUCCAGUGCAAACAUCAUGAUGAACAUCAGAAACUCUUCUGCAAAGCACAUGAACCCUCCAUGUGUGUGAAGGAUGGAGUUUCAUUGGAGACGAUCAGAGAUGAUCGAUUCUCUUUCAGUGAUGAAGCUUCUACUGGAGUCUUUACUGUAAACAUCACUGAUCUGAGAGAAGAGGAUUCUGGGAUAUACUGGUGUGGAGCUCAAAUCACCACUAAAGUCAACUUCACUGUUAAAAAGGAUUUCUCUUUGUUAAACAUUAUUUCUAUGUGUUCGACUCUGCUGCUGAUUGGAGGAUUCACUGUGACUGAGUGUUUAUUAAGAUGAGGUGAUGCUGUCCUUCAUGAACACACACUGAUUAUAACUACUACAGACUAACACAAAAACCGUUUAUGAAUAGUCUUUUUCCAAAUGAGGACAUCCAAAAUGUCUUCAAAGGGACGUUUUGUCAGAUGCAGGUCACAAACAAACAUACUUUUAAUCUUCAUUUUUCUUAAAAUGUGAUAAAACAUUAAAAAUAUAAGUCUUUUAAAAUCUUUUUGGUCACAGAAUUUCUCAUGAACUCUGUAGGUGUUUUUUGUGUUUGCGUGACGAUCAAUCCAGCUCAAAGCCACAGAAAACAGAUGAAGGUUCAGAGUCUCAGUUUAGUUUCCUGAAAAGAUCAAAAGACUCACUCAGGAAACCCACAGAGAACAGAGAGAGACGCUGAACAUCGUCUGUGGUCAGAAGACAAUAAAGUCUAAGAUUUGCCUUGUUAUUACUGAAGAUGUUCUAUAAUUAAAAUAUAAAUAAUUACUUUUGCUUAUUUAACUAUUAAACAGGCUGAACCAC
Long non-coding RNA from Ctenopharyngodon idella (grass carp), 1017 nucleotides. RefSeq lists it as uncharacterized. The transcript is spliced from 2 exons. The record is from RefSeq and is a predicted model, not a curated record. Lineage: Eukaryota; Metazoa; Chordata; Actinopteri; Cypriniformes; Xenocyprididae.